Molecule: long non-coding RNA, 2065 nt
Organism: Micropterus salmoides (largemouth bass)
Lineage: Eukaryota; Metazoa; Chordata; Actinopteri; Centrarchiformes; Centrarchidae
Exons: 3
Source: RefSeq, a predicted model, not a curated record
UGGUUCCAGUGACCCCCAUUCAAUUCAGUGACUCUGCGACCUUCACGUGUGUUUUGCCCGAUGAAGAGCUGAGCAGUAGAAAACUCCACUGGUACAAGCAGCGUGCCGGGGAUACUCUGAAAUUAAUCAUGACACUGUGGAAAUCUGCAAAACCUGAAUAUGCACCAGCAUUUUCUGAAUCAAGAUUGAAGGAAACACUCAGAGGACAUCAAACUAUACUGUCAUUCAUGGGCCGACAGUAUCUGAUCCAGACCGUCCAGGAGACUCAAUAACUGUUCAGUGUUCAGUCCUCUCUGACUCUGACAACAAGACUUGUCCAGGAGAUCACAGUGUGUACUGGUUCAGAGCCGGAUCAGAUAAAUCUCAUCCAGACAUCAUUUACACUGAUGGAAAUGGACAUGAUGAAUGUGACAAGAGAUCUGACUCUCAGAAAAGCUGUGUUUAUCGCUUCUUCAGGAACAUCAUCUCCUCUGAUGCUGGGACUUACUACUGUGCUGUGGCCGCAUGUGGAGAGAUAUUAUUCGGAGAUGGAACAAAACUGGACAUUCAAGGACCCAGUAUUUGGUCAGAGAAGACCAAUGCAAUUAUGUUUCUGCUGUCUGCUGUCUUGGCUAUAAGUCUGAUUGUUAUAACCUUCCUCAUUUACCCCAUCAAGACAAGCAAGUGGUAUUGUUCCAACGGUAAUAGAGGUUACUUAUGUUUCUUAAAAAAUUAAAACAAAAUUUAAAUUACUGCAUCCUUUUUUAUUGUUACCUAUAUAUUCUCUUUCUCAUAAUCCAGCCGCUGUCAACCUGCAACAAAACAGUGUUUUUUUAUUCUUAUUAAACCAGUUAUGAAGCUUUUUUAACAUUGUCAUCUCAUGUAUUUUCUCAGAGAGAUGAGGACACAUGGAUUUAUUCUGCUGUCGUCUUUGGUGUGAUGAAAGGUGUGAAUUAGCGGUUAAGGUGGUGAACAUGAACUGAAAUGUCCCCUGUCCAAGUCUGGCUGGAGACGUUUGUUGCAUUUCUCUCGCACAUUUUCUGUUAUGUCUCUACUGUCUGUAAUAAAGGUUAAAAAAUGCCCAGAAAUACACAAAGUAACUUUUUCCAAGAAGAAGAACUCUAUUUCUGUUAACAUUGUUGUUUGGUAAUGGGCCGAAUAUCAGAGCGGUUUAGAGGUAUAAAAUUAGUGAAAAAGAAUGUGAUAGACUGGAUUAUUGUUAUUUUAAUCCAAAUAAUAAUUCGUAUACAUACUCAGUAUCAGCUAGUACCCUGUAGUGAAACUGGUUUCAGAAGAGAGAAAGUCAGAUCAGAGGUUAUUUGAAAAUGAGUUUAUUAAAUCAUAAAUGACUUUUGUUUGGAGAAAACGACCAUAUGGCCAUAAUAUUUAUGCAUGUUGCUUUUUCUUUAUUGUUUUUGUUGUGUUCUGUUUGUGAACAACAACAAAAUCUGUGUCACAUCAGAAGCAAACACAGAUCUGUUGAUGACACAGCUUCUCACAAAACGUGCUGACUUAACAUAACAACUGAAAAUCUAAUGCUGUCGCAUAAAAUCAGCAAAAUAAAAAAACUGUUAAUUGAAAAUAUGUAUAUUUUGUUACACAGCAUCAUUAUGGACACUCUUGUGUGAGUCUCUCCCUUCUUCUUCCCUCUUUUCUCUCUCCAUGUGGAUAAAAUUGUGUGUCAAGACAAAUGUUUCUGAGAUUAGGGCAUCAUGAGAACUUAAGUCAUAGACAUCUCAUCUUUUUUUGUAAUUUCAGUAAUGUCAUCAAUAUAUUUACAUCUCUUGACUUUGAUACAUUAUGUUGAGUUUAUAAUAGUUAUUACAUGAAACUGGUGAUUAAUUAUACCAAGUAGAAUUUUAUUGAGUUUUUACACACAAAGGACACAAGUUCACUCUGACAGUUCACCCAAGAGCAUGUUAAAUUUUUUGGAUUUCGCUGAUGUGUUUAUUUGAUUAGCAUCACCUUUCUGUCUGACAAGUCUGUCUUUUACAUGUUGUCUGGAUUAAAUCAACAGUGAACAACAGCAAUUUAUUGACGUGAUACAAUGAAUAUGAGAUUGUGUAAAGUCAUUUGGUAAUUAAAC